RNAcentral lists this ribosomal RNA (357 nucleotides) under uncultured bacterium. RNAcentral's name for it is "bacterial SSU rRNA". It matches the Rfam family "Bacterial small subunit ribosomal RNA", at positions 445 to 793 of the family's 1533-position model. The record is from RNAcentral.
UAGUGUAGUUAACACCUGCAUUAUUUGACGUUACCUACAGAAGAAGCACCGGCUAACUCCGUGCCAGCAGCCGCGGUAAUACGGAGGGUGCGAGCGUUAAUCGGAAUUACUGGGCGUAAAGCGCAUGCAGGCGGCCUGUUAAGUCAGAUGUGAAAGACCCGGGGCGUUAACCUCGGAAAUUGCAUUUGAAACUGGCAGGCUAGAGUCUUGUAGAGGGGGGUAGGAAGUUUCUAGGUGUAGCGGUGAAAUAGCGUAGAGAUCUGAAGGAAUACCAGUGGCGAAGGCGGCCCCCUCGGACAAAGACUGACGCUCAGAUGCGAAAGCGUGGGGAGCAAACAGGAUUAGAUACCCUGGUAG